RNAcentral lists this ribosomal RNA (322 nucleotides) under uncultured Chloroflexota bacterium. RNAcentral describes it as "bacterial SSU rRNA". It matches the Rfam family "Bacterial small subunit ribosomal RNA", at positions 28 to 351 of the family's 1533-position model. The record is from RNAcentral. Lineage: Bacteria; Bacillati; Chloroflexota.
GAUGAACGCUAGCGGCAGGCCUAAUACAUGCAAGUCGAGCGAAAGAUGUAGCAAUACGUCUUUAGCGGCGAACGGGUGAGUAACGCGUUGGUGACCUGCCUCGAAGCGUGGGAUAACAGUUCGAAAGGAUUGCUAAUACCACAUGUGGUUGCGGAGAUUAGAGGCUCUACAACUAAAGGAGAAAUUCACUUCGAGAGGGGCCUGCGUCCCAUCAGCUAGUUGGUAAGGUAACGGCUUACCAAGGCGAUGACGGGUAGGGGACCUGAGAGGGUGGCCCCCCACAAUGGAACUGAAACACGGUCCAUACACCUACGGGAGGCAG